Molecule: long non-coding RNA, 1300 nt
Filed under: Pan troglodytes (chimpanzee)
Lineage: Eukaryota; Metazoa; Chordata; Mammalia; Primates; Hominidae
Description: lincRNA
Source: RNAcentral
UUUUGAAAGUGGAAGAGUCUGCUGGCGGGAAGGGAGAAGAGUGGGAGGAGGAAAUAAGCAACAGGCAGCUUCCUUUCUUGACAGAUGGAAAAUAAAGGGCCUGUGCACAGCUCGGCGAACUGCUCCGUGGACCUCCCAGCGGGGCUGCUUUCUGAGGUGAUGGUCUCCUCGCUCCUUAGCCAGCCUGGUGGAGCCAGCUACUGACGUUGGAAAGGAGUUGGAGGAUGGAGCACCAGAUACUGCUACACCAUCUCAUUGGCAUGGACCUAUAUGUGGCAGCAAGUCCAUCUCAUCGCUUUUGGUGAAAGUCAGUCCAGUUUGUAAAGAUUCUCAUUACUCCUUGGUGACGGUCGAUUCUAGGGAAGUAACAUUGAUAUAAAUCCAAGUGGAGGGAGAAGUUUUCUCCUUCAUGUCCCCUUCCCAAACAACCUAGCUUAGUUCAUCAGCUUCUGUUGACAUUAUUUAUAAAUGCUAAUGAACUCAUAAGUGCUAAUUAAUAACUCCAUGUGCUGCUAUUUACUAGCAAAUAUAGGAAUCCAGGUGCAGUAUAGACCUGUCCCCAAAUACAGUACAUUUCUUCAUCUCUGAGCCAAGUAGCAUGUCUGGGAUGACUCUGUUCCAAUACUGCCGAAGUCAGUGCCAUACACACUUAAAAAAUACACCCAGGAGCUACACUUAAACUCUCAUAACAGCAUCAUCUUCUUAUUACCCACUUAGAUAAGAAACCAGGGUCAAGUCCAGCUGUAUUAGUCAGGGUUCUCCAGAGAAACAGAACCAAUAGGAUAUAUAUAUAUAUAGCUCUAUAGAAUGAGAUUUGUUAUGAGGCUGAGAAGUCCCGCAAUCUGCUGUCUGCAAGCUGGAGGCACAAGAAAGCUGGUGGUGCAGUUCCAUUCCAAACCCAAAAGCCUGAAAACCGGGGGAGCCAAUGAUGCCUUGGAAAGUGUUCCAGAAAUGGACUUUUUGCAGUAUGAUGACCUGCAAAAGCAGCCCUUCCAUUUACGUUUCAAACUCCAAGUCAGCCGUGUCAAAGUUUGAACCAGGACUGUGGAGGAUAAUGGGUCAGAUGCAAUUAGCAGCCCAGAGAACCGCACGUUGCAGUCUGAUUUAUUUUUUUGCCCAUCAGAUUCCAAGAAUCCUAGUGCUUAAAAGCAACUAAACAAUCGCUCUAUUGUACUGAAAUAAAGCCCGGUUAAUUCAGAAAUCAAUUGCACCACCAGGUGGGGCACACUCUGGCCCCAAACAGAUGGGGUUGAAAACUCCCCCCAAAAUGCAGUCUUGUUAAAUUAAAAACUUGAUCCAG